This 1584-nucleotide ribosomal RNA is filed under the name Staphylococcus aureus. RNAcentral's name for it is "partial 23S ribosomal RNA". It matches the Rfam family "Bacterial large subunit ribosomal RNA", at positions 1 to 1581 of the family's 2925-position model. The record is from RNAcentral. Lineage: Bacteria; Bacillati; Bacillota; Bacilli; Caryophanales; Staphylococcaceae.
AGAUUAAGUUAUUAAGGGCGCACGGUGGAUGCCUUGGCACUAGAAGCCGAUGAAGGACGUUACUAACGACGAUAUGCUUUGGGGAGCUGUAAGUAAGCUUUGAUCCAGAGAUUUCCGAAUGGGGAAACCCAGCAUGAGUUAUGUCAUGUUAUCGAUAUGUGAAUACAUAGCAUAUCAGAAGGCACACCCGGAGAACUGAAACAUCUUAGUACCCGGAGGAAGAGAAAGAAAAUUCGAUUCCCUUAGUAGCGGCGAGCGAAACGGGAAGAGCCCAAACCAACAAGCUUGCUUGUUGGGGUUGUAGGACACUCUGUACGGAGUUACAAAGGACGACAUUAGACGAAUCAUCUGGAAAGAUGAAUCAAAGAAGGUAAUAAUCCUGUAGUCGAAAAUGUUGUCUCUCUUGAGUGGAUCCUGAGUACGACGGAGCACGUGAAAUUCCGUCGGAAUCUGGGAGGACCAUCUCCUAAGGCUAAAUACUCUCUAGUGACCGAUAGUGAACCAGUACCGUGAGGGAAAGGUGAAAAGCACCCCGGAAGGGGAGUGAAAUAGAACCUGAAACCGUGUGCUUACAAGUAGUCAGAGCCCGUUAAUGGGUGAUGGCGUGCCUUUUGUAGAAUGAACCGGCGAGUUACGAUUUGAUGCAAGGUUAAGCAGUAAAUGUGGAGCCGUAGCGAAAGCGAGUCUGAAUAGGGCGUUUAGUAUUUGGUCGUAGACCCGAAACCAGGUGAUCUACCCUUGGUCAGGUUGAAGUUCAGGUAACACUGAAUGGAGGACCGAACCGACUUACGUUGAAAAGUGAGCGGAUGAACUGAGGGUAGCGGAGAAAUUCCAAUCGAACCUGGAGAUAGCUGGUUCUCUCCGAAAUAGCUUUAGGGCUAGCCUCAAGUGAUGAUUAUUGGAGGUAGAGCACUGUUUGGACGAGGGGCCCCUCUCGGGUUACCGAAUUCAGACAAACUCCGAAUGCCAAUUAAUUUAACUUGGGAGUCAGAACAUGGGUGAUAAGGUCCGUGUUCGAAAGGGAAACAGCCCAGACCACCAGCUAAGGUCCGAAAAUAUAUGUUAAGUGGAAAAGGAUGUGGCGUUGCCCAGACAACUAGGAUGUUGGCUUAGAAGCAGCCAUCAUUUAAAGAGUGCGUAAUAGCUCACUAGUCGAGUGACACUGCGCCGAAAAUGUACCGGGGCUAAACAUAUUACCGAAGCUGUGGAUUGUCCUUUGGACAAUGGUAGGAGAGCGUUCUAAGGGCGUUGAAGCAUGAUCGUAAGGACAUGUGGAGCGCUUAGAAGUGAGAAUGCCGGUGUGAGUAGCGAAAGACGGGUGAGAAUCCCGUCCACCGAUUGACUAAGGUUUCCAGAGGAAGGCUCGUCCGCUCUGGGUUAGUCGGGUCCUAAGCUGAGGCCGACAGGCGUAGGCGAUGGAUAACAGGUUGAUAUUCCUGUACCACCUAUAAUCGUUUUAAUCGAUGGGGGGACGCAGUAGGAUAGGCGAAGCGUGCGAUUGGAUUGCACGUCUAAGCAGUAAGGCUGAGUAUUAGGCAAAUCCGGUACUCGUUAAGGCUGAGCUGUGAUGGGGAGAAGACAUUG